RNAcentral lists this long non-coding RNA (5038 nucleotides) under Homo sapiens (human). RNAcentral's name for it is "HSALNT0396416". Lineage: Eukaryota; Metazoa; Chordata; Mammalia; Primates; Hominidae. The record is from RNAcentral.
CCCGGCCAACUGGGAGCAUUUCAAUAAGCUCAUACCCUCUGACCCUGUGGAUAUGAGCGUACUGAAAUUCACAACUUCUAAAAGUUUAUCUGAAGGAGGCAAUCAGAUGUAGACAAAUGUGUAUGUACAAGGAAGUUCACUGAAGCACUAUUUGUAAGAGUGAAAGAUUGGAAGCAAUGUAAGUGCCUAGCAAUAGGGGAGUACGUAAAUAAACUGUGAUUAGUUCCCCACAAUGGGAAGGUUAUGAAUUAGAAGGCGCCACAGGGAGCCUUGUGGGUGCUACAAUAAUCUAAGCCUCAAUGUGAGCGGUGACCUCACUGGUGUUUGUACAUGUAGAAAUUCACCAAGCUGGCCAGGCGCGGUGGCUCACGCCUGUAAUCCCAGCACUUUGGGAGGCAGAAGUGGAUGGAUCACCUGAGGUCAGGAGUUCGAGACCAGCCUGGCUAACAUGAUGAAACCCUGUCUCUACUAAAAAUACAAAAAUUAGCUAGGCAGGUGGUGCGCGCCUGUAAUCCCAGCUGCUCGGGAGGCUGAGGCAGAAGAAUCACUUGAACCCAGGAGACAGAGGUUGCAGUGAGCUGAGAUGGUGCCAUUACACUCCAGCCUAGACAACAGAGUGAGAAUCUGUCUCAAAAAAAAAGAAAAAAAAAAAAAAAAAAGGAAGAAAUUCACCAAGUUGUACACUGCUGUAAAUUAAACUUCCAAAGUAAAUUAAGUGUGUGCGUGUGUGUGUGAUGUUGUCACUAAGAAAACCUGUAUUGAGCUGGGCACAGUGGCUCACGCCUGCAGUCCUAACUACUGGGAGGCUGAGACGGUUGAACCCAGGAGUUUGAAGCUGCAGUGAGCUACAACUGUGCCACUACACUCUGGCCUGGGUGACAGAGCAAGAUCCCGUCUCUUACAACAAAAAUAAAGCCACUAUUGAUGGAGAAACGCUCCCAAUAAAUAAUAAAAUGCAGCAUAUAAACUAUAUACAUUGUGAUCUUAAUUAUACUUUUAUUAAAAUAUACAUACUUAUGCACAGAGUGAAUAGAAAAAAUAUUGGAAGGAAACCAAAAUAUUGACAGCAGUUAUCUCUGAUAGAUAGAAUGACAGAUGAUGUUUAUUUUCUUCUUACACUUUUUCCUAGAUUAGUUCUGCAUUUUCCGGCAUUCAUAUGUAUUGUUUCCCAGCCAUCCUGUCAAGCGCUGGGAUUGUUCUGAUCUCUGGGAGCCUCCAGGGCUGACUCCAGUAUGGCUAAUCUAAAGUGAGCUUGUAAUCUCCAAAAUCCUGAUGGUGGCUUUUCUAUUAGGCAGACUAAUAGAUUCAGAUAUAGGUCCCAACAGUUUGUGUUUUCCUUACUGUCCCAGUUUUAUAUCAUUAUUCUUAGUACUAAACAGAGUGACAACAGGGAGUGACAUUUGUUGAGGACCUACGAUGUGUCAGGGUCCAUGCUGGGGACUUCACAUGAGGGCUCCAUGAAGCCCCCUUGGACACUCAGGUCCUUGUGUCAUCCCCACUUCCCGCCCGCCACUGACGCUGGGGUGAACCUGCAACUCACUGUGACUAAGAGAAUGCAGUGGAAACCAUGCUCUACCCAGUCCAGGCUAAAGCUUUAAGGAGGCCUGGAAGUUACCACACAGCCCAGCAAUUCUACUCCUAGGAAUCUCCCUCAAGAAAACUGAAAACAUGGCUGCGUGCAGUGGCUCACACCUGUAAUCCCAGCACUUUGAAAGGCUGAGGUAGGCGGGUCACUUGAGCUCAGGAGUUUGAGACCAGCGUAGCCAACAUGGCAAAACCCUGUCUGUACUAAAAAUACAAAAAAUUAGGGAGGUGUGGUGGUGGAUGCCUGGAGUCUCAGCUAUUUGGGAGGCUGAGGUAGGAGAACCACUUGAAUCCAGGAGGUGGAGGUUGCAGUAAGCCAAGAUCGUGCCACUGCACUCCAGCCUGGGCAACAGACUGAGACUCUGUCUUAAAAAAAAAAAAAAAAAAAAAAAAAAGGCAAGAAAACUGAAAACAUAUACUCACAGAAAGACGUGCGUACAUGUAAAUGUCCAUAGCAGCACUGCUCAUAAUAGCCAUAACGUGCAGACAACCUGCCCCACCUGGGUUCCUAGCCAGCCUUCUUUCUCACCACUCUUGAGUGGGUCUUCUCAUACCUGUCCCACUGGGCACCCAAGCAUGCAACCAAGUGACGUGGUCUUCGUGCCUCAAAGGAGUGACCCAGCCAAAGUCAUGUGGCUGGGAUUUGGGGCUGGCUAAAGAGUCCAGCCCGUGGCCGGGCACAGUGGCUCAUGCCUAUAAUCCUAGCACUCUGGGAGGCUGAGGCAGGUGGAUCACUUGAGGCCAGGAGUUUGAGACCAGCCUGGCCAAGAUGGCAAAACCCCAUCCCUCCUAAAAAAAAAAAAAAAAAAUUAGGCAUGGUGGUACAUGCCUGUAAUCCCAGCUACUCAGGAGGCUGAGGCAGGAGAAUCACGCGAACCUGGGAGGCGGAGGUUGCAGUGAGCUGACAAGACAGUACAGCACUCUAGCCUGGGUGACAGAGUGAGACACCAUCUCAAAAAAAAAAAAAAAAAAGUCCAGCCCAGAGCUCAGGGUUCCCAGACUCUGAACCAAAUCAAGUAUAAGCCAUUUCCCCAAAGAGCAGACAGGAGAGGACCAAGGUGCUGAUGUCCAAAACCAACUAGGAGGGUGGAUCUGAAGGAAAAAAACAACAAACUCACCCUAGCCAAUGGAGCUUCCCAGAAACAAAGGUGCAGAGUUGUGCCCCAACACAGAAGGCAACAUCAAGAGAGUAGCCAGGUGCAGUGGCUCACGCCAGUAAUCUCAGCACUUUGAGAGGCCGAGGCGGGCGGAUCACUUGAGGUCAGGAGUUUGAGACCAGCCUGGCCAACAUGGUGAAAUCCCAUCUCUAAGAGAACGACAAAAAAUUUAGCUGGGCCUGGUGGCAGGCGCCUGUAAUCCCAGCUACUUGGGAAGCUGAGGCAGGAGAGUCGCUUAAACCUGGGAGGGAGAGGUUGCAAUGGGCCCAGAUUGUACCACUGCAAUCCAGCCUGGGCAACAGAGCAAGACCCUGUCUCAAAAAAAAAAAAAAAAAUAUAUAUAUAUAUAUAUAUAUAUGUAUGUAUACACAAUUUGACCCUGUGUUAGCAGAGUACUUGCCCCUACUCCCCUAAAUGUCCCCAUCCCAAUCCCCAGAACCUGUAAAUAUGUCAUGGCAAGGGAUAAUUAAGGGUACAGGUGAAAUUAACAUAACUCAUCAACUGACUGCUGGAUUCUCCUGGUGGCCCCAAUGGAGUCACAAGCGUCCUUAAAUGGGGAAGAAAGAGGUAGAGGAGUCAGAAUUAGGAGACAGGGUGUCAUGAGGAAGACUUGACAGGCUAUUGGUUGCCUGGAAGAUGGAGGAAGAGGCCGUGAACCAAGGAUGUGGGCAGCCUCUAAAAGCUGGAGAAGGCGAGGAAAAUUUCUCCCUGAGAGCCUCCAGAAGGAACCAGCUAUGCGGACACAUUGAUGCUAGCCUACAGAGACCCAUUCUGUACUUUUGACUUCCAGAAUUGUAAAGAAUAAAUUUGUGGAAUUUUUUUUUUUGAGAGUCUCACUCUGUCACCCAGGCUGGAGUACAGUGGUAUGACCUCGACUCACUGCAACCUCUGCCUCCCGGGUUCAAGCGAUUCUCCUGCCUCAGCUUCCCAUGUAGCUGGAAUUACAGGCAUGCGCCACCACACCCAGCUAAGUUUUUGUAUUUUUAGUAGAGACAAGGUCUCACCAUGUUAGCCAGACUAAAUUUGUUUUGUUUGACACCACGAAGUUUGUGGUUAUUUUUUACAGUGGCAAGAGGACACGAAUACGGCUUUAAAGAAAAAGCUAGCCAGGCACAAUGGCCCAUGCCUAUAAUCCUGGCACUUUGGGAGGCUGAUGUGGGAGGACAGCUUGAGCUCAGGAGGUUUAGGCUGCAGUGAGCUAAGAUAGUGCCACUGCACUCCAGCUUCAGCUACAGAGCAAGACCCUGUCUCUAAAAAUAUAAAGAAAGAAAAUUUAAAAGUAAAGAAAAAGUGGAUCAUUCGGUCCUUUAAGAUGUGGCACUGCCCAAUUAGAACUUUCCUCCAUGCAAUGCAAUUACAGUCACUGAGGCACUGGAUUUUCUAGUUUUAUUUAACUAAGACGGAGACUGAAACAGCCACACGUGGCUCCUGGCUACUGUGCUGCUGAACACAGGCCCUCACUACUCAAAAGUGUGGUCCGUGGACCAGCAGUAUUAGCAUUACCAGGGAGCUCCUUAGGAACAUAGGUCCUUGAUCAGGUGUGGUGGCUCACACCUAUAACCCCAGCACUUUGGGAGGCCAAGGCAGGAGGAUCACUUGAGCCCAGGAGUUCAAGACCAGCCUGGGCAACAUAGUGAAACCUCGUCUCUACAAAAAAAUACAUUAGCCAGCUGUGGUGGUAUGUGCCUGUAGUCCCAGGAGGCUGAGGUGGGAGGAUCGCUUGAGCCUGGGGGAGGUUGAGGCUACAUUGAGCCAUGAUCGCCUCACCUGGGUGACAAAGUGAGACUGUGUCUCAAAAAAGAAAAAGAAAAGAAAUGUAGGCCCUUAGCCUGUACCUCCCCAGCCUGUUAGGCAGAAUCUGAAUUCCACAAAAACACCCCCAAGGGAUUUAGGAGGAUGUUGAAAUCUGAGACCCUCCCAUGGUUGAGGCCACCAGUCACUUACACACAAAUGCCUUCCUCUGCAGCACCAGGAGACAGAGCCCAUCACAGAACUUCUCAGGGUGCCUCCUACACCACACUAGCUUUGUGUGUUUGUUCUUUAAUGCCUCAAGGCAUACUACUAGCCAAGGAGAGUAACUAACAGCAGCUGUUGAACACUAUGGGUCAGACUUUGACCAUCUGUUAUGGACUGAAUUGUGUCACCUACCCAUGACUAAAUUCAUAUGCUGAAGCUCUGACCUCCAACAGGGACUGUAUUUGGAGACAGGGCCUUUGGGAGGUAAUUAAGGUUAAAUAAGGUCAUAAGGGUGGGGUGAUAAGCUGACAAAAGGGAGGCUGGUUGUGGUGGCUCACGCC